GGGCUGGGGAGGGGGUAGACAGCAUGAUCUCCCUCCAUGCCUUGGAAGCGCUUGGUGGCAAGCCUGGGCGCUACUGUACUCCCUUAGCAAUGGCCCUAGCGUCCAGAAGCCCUGGACCUUGAGGUCCCCCACAUUGCCAGCAAGCUAAUGGGCGAGGCAGGUCAGGACUCCCAGUGCUGGGACUCCCAACCUAUUGUUGUUCCCAGCACCCUAGUGAUAGACUCUCCUUCUUGGUGAGGGGCCAGAGAAACACUUGCCGGCUGUACCCUUGGGAGAAGCUGCAGCUGUUGAAGGAGGGCCAGGCAUGCUGACUUUGUGAAGGGCUUCCUGGACUUUGCAUUUGAGAGGAUUGACUAUAAAUCUGGGUCAGGGCUGAAGGGGAGAAGAUGUAAGUACCUACUGGGCUGCCUAAAUUGAGCCCGUUCAGAUUAGCUGGAUCAGUUCUAAAAGGCUGAGAGAAGGCACGGGAAGAAGACGAGAGAGCUGCCAGAUCCAUCCCUCUAUUCUCAGAGAGAUGAUCUCUCUCUCUCUCUCUCUCUCUCUCUCUCUCUCUCUCUCUCUCUCUCUCUCUCUCUCUCUCUCUUGUCUGUCUGUCCUGUGUGUCUCUCUCUCUCCUGUCUCUCUCUCUCUCCUGUCUGUCUGUCUGUCUGUCUCUCUCUCCUGUGUGUGUCUCUCUCUCCUGUGUGUGUGUCUCUCUCCUGUCUCUCCUGUCUCUCUCUCUCUCUCUCCUGUGUGUGUCUCUCCUGUGUGUGUGUCUCUCUCUCCUGUCUCUCUCUCUCUCUCUCCUGUCUGUCUGUCUGUCUCUCUCUGUCUCUCUCACACACACACUUCUUCCUACCCCUUAACCGUAAUGGAAAAAAAAAAGAAAAACAAAAGCCUUUUAAACAAAUAGAUAGUCAGGCAAAACUAGUUCCCAUAUUAGUAAUUUUAAUUCUUCAUACAGAGUCCACCACCUUCCUGGCAGGAAGUGGAUAGCAUGAUCAGUUUUCUAGAAUUGUGGUUACUCAUUGCAUUGAUCUAAGUUCUUAAAAUGUUUCAGUUAUUUACUUGAAUUACAUUUCUUGCCACACCCUGGCUUGGUCUCUCUCAUUCAGCUCAAAUUUCAUGGACCCCUUUCCCCUCCCAAUCUUGUGUUGUUUCUUCCAGGUACCCCUUGGGACAGUCAUGGUCUGAAGCUAAGGACAGUUGCAUGGUAUGGUAUGAAACCUUCUGGAUUUGAGAGCCUGGAAAAGCUGAGUCUGGGAGGUUCACAUUCCAGAAGUUAGGAGAAACUUGAGAUGAGUAUUCCCUUAGCCUAGGUCAAAGACUUGAAUGUUUCCACCAUGUGUGUUUCUAAGAAUCAAAUAUUCUUGCCAUUUCUAGAAAAGGACAUGAUAGUUGAGAGGAAGGAGAUGGCCAGAACGGAGGCAGCCUGCUUCAAAAGAGUCGUGACCCAGAAAACCAGAGAAGCUUUUUUGAUGCUGUUGUAGGCUAGUUGUUGCAGGCUGGAGUCAUUGAUAUGGAUUAGAAAGUUCAGACCAUACAUAUUUCUGACUCAUCUCCAUAGAACUUCCUCUACCAUGUCAUACAAACUUCUUCACCUAGGAAGCUCACUCUACACCUGGGCUUCUGGGUCUGGUAGAACUUCCAUUUUAAAAAGAAGGUCCAGGCCAACCAUGUCUUCAUUCUUCUCUAAACUGCUGUUUCAACUCAUCUUCCCUGGACUUUGUCUCCCAUGCCCUUUGAAACCACGGACUAUCCAUUCCUGCUUUUAUUGGUAUUCAUAGCAUUUAGCACAGUGUCUAGCCUGUAGAAAGUGAUUAAUAAAUGUUUAUUGACCUGACCUGAUACA
Molecule: long non-coding RNA, 1831 nt
Organism: Monodelphis domestica (gray short-tailed opossum)
Lineage: Eukaryota; Metazoa; Chordata; Mammalia; Didelphimorphia; Didelphidae
Source: Ensembl